This 465-nucleotide ribosomal RNA is filed under the name uncultured Klebsiella sp. RNAcentral's name for it is "bacterial SSU rRNA". It matches the Rfam family "Bacterial small subunit ribosomal RNA", at positions 338 to 795 of the family's 1533-position model. Lineage: Bacteria; Pseudomonadati; Pseudomonadota; Gammaproteobacteria; Enterobacterales; Enterobacteriaceae. The record is from RNAcentral.
CCUACGGGUGGCUGCAGUGGGGAAUAUUGCACAAUGGGCGCAAGCCUGAUGCAGCCAUGCCGCGUGUGUGAAGAAGGCCUUCGGGUUGUAAAGCACUUUCAGCGGGGAGGAAGGCGUUAAGGUUAAUAACCUUGGCGAUUGACGUUACCCGCAGAAGAAGCACCGGCUAACUCCGUGCCAGCAGCCGCGGUAAUACGGAGGGUGCAAACGUUAAUCGGAAUUACUGGGCGUAAAGCGCACGCAGGCGGUCUGUCAAGUCGGAUGUGAAAUCCCCGGGCUCAACCUGGGAACUGCAUUCGAAACUGGCAGGCUAGAGUCUUGUGGAGGGGGGUAGAAUUCCAGGUGUAGCGGUGAAAUGCGUAGAGAUCUGGAGGAAUACCGGUGGCGAAGGCGGCCCCCUGGACAAAGACUGACGCUCAGGUGCGAAAGCGUGGGGAGCAAACAGGAUUAGAUACCCUAGUAGUC